RNAcentral lists this ribosomal RNA (311 nucleotides) under uncultured bacterium. RNAcentral's name for it is "bacterial SSU rRNA". It matches the Rfam family "Bacterial small subunit ribosomal RNA", at positions 29 to 307 of the family's 1533-position model. The record is from RNAcentral.
AACGAACGCUGGCGGCGUGGCUAAGGCAUGCAAGUCGAACGGACAUAGUGCGUAGCAAUACAAGCUAUGUUAGUGGCGGACGGGUGAGUAAUGCAUGGGUAACGUACCGAUGGGACACGGGAAUAGCGCCGGGUCCGUCGCAAGACGGAUCCUUUGCGAAAGUGGCGGUAAGACCCGAUGAACCCGGGAAACACAUGUUUUCCCGGGCAAACGCUCCGGUGGUCUAUGAUCGGCCCANGUCCUAUCAGCUUGUUGGUGAGGUAACGGCUCACCAAGGCAACGACGGGUANCCGGCGUGAGAGCGCGACCGG